This 652-nucleotide small RNA is filed under the name Histoplasma capsulatum. RNAcentral describes it as "hypothetical RNA". The record is from RNAcentral. RNAcentral also lists the same sequence under 1 other name. Lineage: Eukaryota; Fungi; Ascomycota; Eurotiomycetes; Onygenales; Ajellomycetaceae.
UGUUAGGUUGGUGACAUCACAUUCGAGAUUCACCAAGGGAACGGCAAUGGCAAGAUAUGUAUCUACCUGAAGACAUGGCCACAAAAAGUUAACUAUCCUAGCUUAGCACAUUGCGUCGACUAUUAUUCAUAACAGACAGGUUUAUAUGUAUUCGAUAUGUAUUGCCAGAGAAAGAGAGUCAGCAUAAGUAACAAAUAUCGAAGCUCAGUUAUGCUGGAUAUGAAACCAUGUCGCGAAAACAGUCGACUAGAUUUAAUCUAUACUCCCGAAUCCAAAGGCAAUCCUCGACUAGCCAAGAAUAAGCAUAUAUUGUUAUAGAUAUCUGCAAACGUCUUAGGCAGGGGGGAGUGAAGAAACGAUAGAAGAAAAGGCUAGUUGUUGACAUUUUAAAACGUACAUGAGGAAAAACCGAGAGAAAGGACCGAACAAAAGAGUGCGUUGGCAUUUCAACUCGUCCCUGAUCUUGUCAGAAGCAAUUGAACUGUGGUAGCCAGGGGAUGCAAUGGACAAUGUUUCCUUAUGAGGUUUUGAGAAACACCUGGCCAUUUGAUAAGGCUCCCAAGAGAUUUACAUAUUGGGAUAUCCUCGUGGCAUUGGAUGGAUCGAAUCGUAUUCGCAUGCCUGUUAAUGAAUGCUUCAAACGAUGGUAGCA